AGUGAACGCUGGCGGUAGGCCUAACACAUGCAAGUCGAACGGCAGCACAGUAAGAGCUUGCUCUUACGGGUGGCGAGUGGCGGACGAGUGAGGAAUACAUCGGAAUCUACUUUUUCGUGGGGGAUAACGUAGGGAAACUUACGCUAAUACCGCAUACGACCUACGGGUGAAAGCAGGGGAUCUUCGGACCUUGCGCGAUUGAAUGAGCCGAUGUCGGAUUAGCUAGUUAGCGGGGUAAAGGCCCACCAAGGCGACGAUCCGUAGCUGGUCUGAGAGGAUGAUCAGCCACACUGGAACUGAGACACGGUCCAGACUCCUACGGGAGGCAGCAGUGGGGAAUAUUGGACAAUGGGCGCAAGCCUGAUCCAGCCAUACCGCGUGGGUGAAGAAGGCCUUCGGGUUGUAAAGCCCUUUUGUUGGGAAAGAAAAGCAGCAGGUUAAUACCCCGCUGUUCUGACGGUACCCAAAGAAUAAGCACCGGCUAACUUCGUG
This 492-nucleotide ribosomal RNA is filed under the name uncultured bacterium. RNAcentral's name for it is "partial 16S ribosomal RNA". It matches the Rfam family "Bacterial small subunit ribosomal RNA", at positions 29 to 507 of the family's 1533-position model. The record is from RNAcentral.